CUACUUUUCAACUUUGCCUUUCCUCCUUGAGAAUCUACUGAACUAGAAAUGUGUCCUGCUCACAGACUGCGGCUUACCAGAGCCUUUGACUCCUCAGGGGUGGAGCAAAUGAUUUCCUUCUUGGACAAGGGCAAUCUGUGGCCAGUGUACAAGAGUUGCCAUGGCAACCCUGCAGCUGCGCUCUGCCUAGCAGAGACUCGGAUACGGUAAAACAGUAAAUGCAAAUCAUGGAUGAAAUUUAUAAGAUCGCUUCCACAGAAAGGAUCCAGCAGUUAGAAAAAGAAUUGGCUUUGCAACUGACUGCACUAAAGUCUGAGAUAGAAGAACAGGAGACUCAUCAAGCUUACAGCUCUAUUCGAAUGCCCAAGGACAUUUCUUACUUUCGAAGAGAAAGGGAAUUGGCUCUAAAGAAAACUUUACAGGUGGCUGAGUCAAAGCCCCUUGUUGUUCAAGCAGAUGUCAUGCAGAGGGAGCUAGAGAGCUGCCUAAGAAGAGAGUACACUCCUGAAAAUUUACCUUUGCUUCUGUUGCAGUCCCUCCAGUAUUUGCCCAUCUCCAAAGUGCUGAGUGUAGCUAUUGAUGAAUUUCCUGAGGCUUGUCAGGAGAAUGAAAAUGUAUGUGUUGAUGACAUCGACCCUAAUAUCCAGAGUUCUGGAUCUCUAGACCCUGUGGAUACUAGCAUUUCAGGGCUGACAAGAACAGAAGCUGCUUUCUCCCUGCCCCAACACAUGACUGAAAGAGAAGGACUGAAACCCCAGCUGAGGCUCCUGCUCUCCCAUUUUAAUAUCCCAUAUGACGUGGAAGAGCUAAGGGAUGCUACUAAGGAAAUGGAACUCUUUAACCUGGUACUUGAUGGACUCUUUCUUAAUACGAAGAUAGGUGUUCGUGAAAGAAAACACUACUGUUUGCCACAAAGUUGGAUAUUUAUGCUGCCUCAAUUGUUUCUAGAGUGAUAAAAUUUAAUUGUAAUAGGUGAGAUUUAGAUUAGCACUUGAACUUCCCCUCUGUAAGAGUACUGGGUCUCUUGAAUAUACAACACAGAGGGAUCACAGGAUUUAUUUUUCUGUAGAAUUUGAAGAAAGAGUAGUUUAUAGUCCAUAGUAGAUGGUAUAAAAGUAGCCAAGACUUGGAAGAUAAUGGAGAAGACAACUAGAUAAUGGAGUUGUCUAGUGUCUUGAGCCCUUCGAUUCUCGGAAUGUGUUGUAGUAGCUCUCCUAUUGGCAAAAAUUCUUUAAAUUCAAUAGAGUUUUAUAUUAUGUAGUGAUUUUUUAAAGUCAUGCAGUCUGCUGAACUAUAACACAGUGUUGCACUUCCUUUAAAAAAAACUCGUAUUAAUAGAAACCAUGUUAAAACUCAUUUCAAAGGGAAAAAUAAAAUUAUGUAUGGAUAGCUUUAAAUUUAGAAUAUAAAGUUUUCAGCCAAAGCAUCAACAAUAAAGAUAUUACUUUAGGUCUGGGCGUGGAAUUUUGCAAGCAUAUGUAUUCGCUAGGGAAAAAUAGUAAAUUGAUUGAUCCAAACAGGCAAAACUAAAAUCUGAAUGUGUUUGAAUGCUCUUUGUGUAAGAAGGAGCCACUGUCCUCCCUGUCACCAUUUGCCAUGACAUUCAACUUUCACUUCCAUGUGUGCUUGUUCCAGCAUGAUUUUACUAGGAUUAUUUCUACUAAUAUGUAACAUGGUCUCUUUAUGCUUCCUGAAACCGGUGGUAUCACAUGUCCUCUGGUUUCUUUGAAGGUGAUGAUGUUUCAGCUCUUGCCUUUCUUUGCAGCAGAGCACUUCUAGGGAGUACCUUACCCUCAUUGUCAGCAAGCAUUGUGAUAAACAAAAACUGGAAUUGGAAUAAGACGGUGUUUUUAAAAGAGUCAAAAUAAACAAAAAUAAAUGAUAACACAGUAGCUAUCAUCAAUGAUAACAAACAAACAAACCAACCAACCCAUGAAGCUGCUGAGCAAACUUGUUCCAAAAGAACAGCUUGUUUCCUUUACAUAGCAAUACUUUCCACUUCUGAUUAUUUUGAACGUUUUUUUAAAUUUAUUUUUGAGAGAGACCAAGUGUGAGCAGGGGAGGGGCAGAGAAAGAGAGAGACAGAAUCUGAAGUAGGUUCCAGGCUCUGAGCUGUCAGCACAGAGCCAGAUGCGGGGCCUUAAACUCGUGAACCACAAGAUGAUGACCUGAGCUGAAGUCAGAUGCUUAACCGACUGAGCCACCCAGGCUCCCCCUCCACUUCUGAUUUUCUUGUAACAGUGUUAUGUGCAGUGCUUGUGCUCACAAGAUAAUCAAUCACAUUACAACAAUUUUUUGUGUGUGUAGGAAGAGUUCUUAUAUUUGGGUACUGUUUAUUCUGGUUCUCUAAUUCCUUAGAGCAGAGUCAGCAAAUGACAGCUGCAGGCCACCACCUGUUUUGUUUUCUUUUUUAAUAAAGUUUUAUUGGA
Long non-coding RNA from Panthera leo (lion), 2429 nucleotides. The record is from Ensembl. Lineage: Eukaryota; Metazoa; Chordata; Mammalia; Carnivora; Felidae.